AGGAUGUAUGGUCUGGGUCU
This 20-nucleotide non-coding RNA is filed under the name Mus musculus (house mouse). The record is from RNAcentral. Lineage: Eukaryota; Metazoa; Chordata; Mammalia; Rodentia; Muridae.